GACGAACGCUGGCGGCGUGCUUAACACAUGCAAGUCGAACGGAAAGGCCCUGCUUUUGUGGGGUGCUCGAGUGGCGAACGGGUGAGUAACACGUGAGUAACCUGCCCUUGACUUUGGGAUAAUUUCAGGAAACUGGGGCUAAUACCGGAUAGGAGCUCCUGCUGCAUGGUGGGGGUUGGAAAGUUUCGGCGGUUGGGGAUGGACUCGCGGCUUAUCAGCUUGUUGGUGGGGUAGUGGCUUACCAAGGCUUUGACGGGUAGCCGGCCUGAGAGGGUGACCGGCCACAUUGGGCCUGAGGUACGGCCCAGACUCCUACGGGAGGCAGCAGUGGGGAAUAUUGCACAAUGGGCGGAAGCCGGAGGAAGCAACGCCGCGUGCGGGAUGACGGCCUUCGGGUUGUAAACCGCUUUCGCCUGUGACGAAGCGUGAGUGACGGUAAUGGGUAAAGAAGCACCGGCUAACUACGUG
Molecule: ribosomal RNA, 468 nt
Filed under: uncultured bacterium
Lineage: Bacteria
Description: partial 16S ribosomal RNA
Rfam family: Bacterial small subunit ribosomal RNA
Source: RNAcentral